Molecule: small RNA, 424 nt
Filed under: Arabidopsis thaliana (thale cress)
Lineage: Eukaryota; Viridiplantae; Streptophyta; Magnoliopsida; Brassicales; Brassicaceae
Description: ATSL111960
Source: RNAcentral
CAUUUUUGAAUAAUAAUGAUGAUGGUGAUUUUGGCUUGGUUGUGGAUUGAAAAGUUUAUCAUGAUGUUGUUGAAUUCUUCUCUUUUUACUGUGUUUCAGGUCGGAUUCUCUUGAUCUUCUCCAUCAAGUUUUAAGUAUGUUCUUUUUUUUUUCUCAUCGGAUUCUCUUGAUCUUCUCCAUCAAAUUUUAAAUAUGUUCUUUUUUUUUUCUCAAGUUCUCCUGGCUUUUGGUGAUUUUUGUUUCCUUACUUUCACAAUAGACUUUCUUUUUUACAAUUAUUUCAGAUUAUUGGUUGUAUCGACCGAUGACCAACGCACCUUUUCCAAAACCAGUCAAAAUUAAUCCAGACCAAUGGAAACCAAAUCACGAAACUAACAGGGGCUCCGACAACCCCAGUCAGCCAAAAUCACGAUUAGCCUACGCU